CAGUCGCGGUAAUACGUAGGGUGCAAGCGUUAAUCGGAAUUACUGGGCGUAAAGCGUGCGCAGGCGGUUAUAUAAGACAGAUGUGAAAUCCCCGGGCUCAACCUGGGAACUGCAUUUGUGACUGUAUAGCUAGAGUACGGCAGAGGGGGAUGGAAUUCCGCGUGUAGCAGUGAAAUGCGUAGAUAUGCGGAGGAACACCGAUGGCGAAGGCAAUCCCCUGGGCCUGUACUGACGCUUAUGCACGAAAGCGUGGGGAGCAAACAGGAUUAGAUACCCGGGUAGUCCCUGUCUCUUAUACACA
This 301-nucleotide ribosomal RNA is filed under the name uncultured bacterium. Its description in RNAcentral is "partial 16S ribosomal RNA". It matches the Rfam family "Bacterial small subunit ribosomal RNA", at positions 512 to 810 of the family's 1533-position model. The record is from RNAcentral.